UUGAACGCUGGCGGCAGGCCUAACACAUGCAAGUCGAACGGUAACAGGGAUCAGCUUGCUGAUUCGCUGACGAGUGGCGGACGGGUGAGUAAUGUCUGGGAAACUGCCUGAUGGAGGGGGAUAACUACUGGAAACGGUAGCUAAUACCGCAUAACGUCGCAAGACCAAAGAGGGGGACCUUCGGGCCUCUUGCCAUCGGAUGUGCCCAGAUGGGAUUAGCUAGUAGGUGGGGUAACGGCUCACCUAGGCGACGAUCCCUAGCUGGUCUGAGAGGAUGACCAGCCACACUGGAACUGAGACACGGUCCAGACUCCUACGGGAGGCAGCAGUGGGGAAUAUUGCACAAUGGGCGCAAGCCUGAUGCAGCCAUGCCGCGUGUAUGAAGAAGGCCUUCGGGUUGUAAAGUACUUUCAGCGGGGAGGAAGGGAGUAAAGUUAAGACCUUUGCUCAUUGACGUUACCCGCAGAAGAAGCACCGGCUAACUCCGU
This 488-nucleotide ribosomal RNA is filed under the name uncultured bacterium. RNAcentral describes it as "partial 16S ribosomal RNA". It matches the Rfam family "Bacterial small subunit ribosomal RNA", at positions 30 to 506 of the family's 1533-position model. The record is from RNAcentral.